This 163-nucleotide ribosomal RNA is filed under the name Coelogyne kouytcheensis. RNAcentral's name for it is "5.8S ribosomal RNA". It matches the Rfam family "5.8S ribosomal RNA". From Rfam's summary of the family: 5.8S ribosomal RNA (5.8S rRNA) is a component of the large subunit of the eukaryotic ribosome. It is transcribed by RNA polymerase I as part of the 45S precursor that also contains 18S and 28S rRNA. Functionally, it is thought that 5.8S rRNA may be involved in ribosome translocation. The record is from RNAcentral. Lineage: Eukaryota; Viridiplantae; Streptophyta; Magnoliopsida; Asparagales; Orchidaceae.
ACACGACUCUCGGCAAUGGAUAUCUCGGCUCUCGCAUCGAUGAAGAGCGCAGCGAAAUGCGAUACGUGGUGCGAAUUGCAGAAUCCCGCGAACCAUCGAGUCUUUGAACGCAAGUUGCGCCCGAGGCCAACCGGCCGAGGGCACGUCCGCCAGGGCGUCAAGC